UGGUAAUGCCGGAUGCUCCAUCAUACCGCAUGGUGUUCUGGGAAAGCCUUUGCGGCAUGGGAUGGGGUCGCGUCCUAUCAGCUUGAUGGCGGGGUAACGGCCCACCAUGGCUUCGACGGGUAGCCGGCCUGAGAGGGCGACCGGCCACAUUGGGACUGAGAUACGGCCCAGACUCCUACGGGAGGCAGCAGUGGGGAAUAUUGCACAAUGGGCGCAAGCCUGAUGCAGCGACGCCGCGUGAGGGAUGGAGGCCUUCGGGUUGUAAACCUCUUUUGUUAGGGAGCAAGGCAUUUUGUGUUGAGUGUACCUUUCGAAUAAGCACCGGCUAACUACGUGCCAGCAGCCGCGGUAAUACGUAGGGUGCAAGCGUUAUCCGGAAUUAUUGGGCGUAAAGGGCUCGUAGGCGGUUCGUCGCGUCCGGUGUGAAAGUCCAUCGCUUAACGGUGGAUCCGCGCCGGGUACGGGCGGGCUUGAGUGCGGUAGGGGAGACUGGAAUUCCCGGUGUAACGGUGGAAUGUGUAGAUAUCGG
This 529-nucleotide ribosomal RNA is filed under the name Bifidobacterium breve. RNAcentral describes it as "bacterial SSU rRNA". It matches the Rfam family "Bacterial small subunit ribosomal RNA", at positions 161 to 700 of the family's 1533-position model. Lineage: Bacteria; Bacillati; Actinomycetota; Actinomycetes; Bifidobacteriales; Bifidobacteriaceae. The record is from RNAcentral.